AGCGAACGCUGGCGGCAGGCCUAACACAUGCAAGUCAAACCGAUCCUUCGGGAUUAGUGGCGGACGGGUGAGUAACACGGGGGAACGUGCCCUGUGGUUCGGAACAACUCAGGGAAACUUGAGCUAAUACCGGAUGUGCCCUUCGGGGGAAAGAUUUAUCGCCAUUGGAGCGGCACGCGUCUGUUUAGCUAGUUGGUGGGGUUAAGGCCGGCCAGGACGACGAUCAGUAGCUGGUCGGAGAGGAUGAUCAGCCACAUUGGGACUGAGACACGGCGCAAACUCCUACGGGGGGCCGCAGUGGGGAAUCUUGCGCAAUGUGCGAAAGCCUGACGCAGCCAUGCCGCGUGAAUGAUGAAGGUCUUAGGAUUGUAAAAUUCUUUCACCGGGGACGAUAAUGACGGUACCCGGAGAAGAAGCCCCGGCUAACUUCGUGCCAGCAGCCGCGGUAA
Molecule: ribosomal RNA, 449 nt
Filed under: uncultured bacterium
Lineage: Bacteria
Description: partial 16S ribosomal RNA
Rfam family: Bacterial small subunit ribosomal RNA
Source: RNAcentral